UAUGGCGACCGGCGCACGGGUGAGUAACACGUAUCCAACCUGCCGAUGACUCGGGGAUAGCCUUUCGAAAGAAAGAUUAAUACCCGAUGGCAUAGUUCUUCCGCAUGGUAGAACUAUUAAAGAAUUUCGGUCAUCGAUGGGGAUGCGUUCCAUUAGUUGUUGGCGGGGUAACGGCCCACCAAGACUACGAUGGAUAGGGGUUCUGAGAGGAAGGUCCCCCACAUUGGAACUGAGACACGGUCCAA
RNAcentral lists this ribosomal RNA (245 nucleotides) under uncultured bacterium. Its description in RNAcentral is "partial 16S ribosomal RNA". It matches the Rfam family "Bacterial small subunit ribosomal RNA", at positions 87 to 334 of the family's 1533-position model. The record is from RNAcentral.